UUGGGAGAAAGGCUUGCUCGCCCGAAAGGAUCGGCCCGCGUCUCGAUUAGCUAGUUGGUGGGGUAAUGGCCUACCAAGGCGACGAUCAGUAGCUGGUCUGAGAGGAUGAUCAGCCACACUGGGACUGAGACACGGCCCAGACUCCUACGGGAGGCAGCAGUGGGGAAUAUUGGACAAUGGGCGCAAGCCUGAUCCAGCCAUGCCGCGUGAGUCAUGAAGGCCUUAGGGUUGUAAAGCUCUUUUGUCCGGGACGAUAAUGACGGUACCGGAAAGAAUAAGCCCCGGCUAACUUCGGUGCCAGCAGCCGCGGUAAUACGAACGGGGGCUAGCGUUGCUCGGAAUCCACUGGGCGUAAAGGGCGCGUAGGCGGCCAUUUCAAUUCGGGGGGUGAAAGCCUGUGGCUCAACCACAAAAUUGCUUCCCAUACUGUUUUGGCUUGAAGUUUGGUAAAGGUUCGUCGGAACUGGCCAGUGUAAAAGGCGAAUUUCCUAAUAUUCCCCCACGAACCCCACUGGCGAAAGGGGGGCCACCUGGGACCAACACUGACUCUUGAGGGGCCAAAGCCGGGGCGAGCCAAACCGGUUUAAAUCCCCUUGGAAACCCCCGCCCCGAAACCGAAUGAAUCUUACCUGUUUGGGGGGCUUGCCCCCCCAAAACGCCCACCUACCGCUUUUAAACUUUCCCCUCGGGGAAUACCGUCCAAA
This 704-nucleotide ribosomal RNA is filed under the name Methylobacterium sp. 93ND6. Its description in RNAcentral is "bacterial SSU rRNA". It matches the Rfam family "Bacterial small subunit ribosomal RNA", at positions 196 to 891 of the family's 1533-position model. Lineage: Bacteria; Pseudomonadati; Pseudomonadota; Alphaproteobacteria; Hyphomicrobiales; Methylobacteriaceae. The record is from RNAcentral.